CCCUUAGAUGUUCUGGGCCGCACGCGCGCUACACUGAUGCAUUCAACGAGCCUAUCCUUGACCGACAGGUCCGGGUAAUCUUUGAAUCUGCAUCGUGACGGGGAUAGAUUAUUGCAAUUAUUAAUCUUCAACGAGGAAUGCCUAGUAGGCGCAAGUCAUCAGCUUGCGUCGAUUACGUCCCAGCCCUUUGUACACACCGCCCGUCGCUCCUACCGAUUGGGUGUGCUGGUGAAAUGUUCGGAUCGGCCGUUUGUCGCGGUUUCCGCGGCUCGUGGCUGAGAAGUUCAUUAAACCCUCCCACCUAGAGGAAGGAGAAGUCGUAACA
This 325-nucleotide ribosomal RNA is filed under the name uncultured eukaryote. Its description in RNAcentral is "partial 18S ribosomal RNA". It matches the Rfam family "Eukaryotic small subunit ribosomal RNA", at positions 1470 to 1796 of the family's 1831-position model. The record is from RNAcentral.